Molecule: ribosomal RNA, 596 nt
Filed under: uncultured bacterium
Lineage: Bacteria
Description: bacterial SSU rRNA
Rfam family: Bacterial small subunit ribosomal RNA
Source: RNAcentral
AGUCGAACGGCAGCACGGGAGCAAUCCUGGUGGCGAGUGGCGAACGGGCGUUUAAUAUAUCGGAACGUGCCCAGUCGUGGGGGAUAACGCAGCGAAAGCUGUGCUAAUACCGCAUACGAUCUCUGGAUGAAAGCGGGGGACUCGUAAGAGCCUCGCGCGAUUGGAGCGGCCGAUAUCAGAUUAGCUAGUUGGUGGGGUAAAGGCCCACCAAGGCGACGAUCUGUAGCUGGUCUGAGAGGACGACCAGCCACACUGGAACUGAGACACGGUCCAGACUCCUACGGGAGGCAGCAGUGGGGAAUUUUGGACAAUGGGCGCAAGCCUGAUCCAGCAAUGCCGCGUGCAGGAUGAAGGCCUUCGGGUUGUAAACUGCUUUUGUACGGAACGAAAAGGUCUGCCUUAAUACGGUGGGCCCAUGACGGUACCGUAAGAAUAAGCACCGGCUAACUACGUGCCAGCAGCCGCGGUAAUACGUAGGGUGCGAGCGUUAAUCGGAAUUACUGGGCGUAAAGCGUGCGCAGGCGGUUAUAUAAGACAGAUGUGAAAUCCCCGGGCUCAACCUGGGACCUGCAUUUGUGACUGUAUAGCUAGAGUAC